UGACGCCUGCUGCUGCCAUCUGUUACGUUUUGGGGGUGUUUGUGUUGGUUUGUGUCCUGUCUCUCCAUGUACAGGAAAUCUGCAGGCAAGAUGGCUACCCUUCACCCAAGGUGUAGCCGAUUGGAUACGACCGACCUGGACUCCUCCCCUUCAUUAUUGGAUGCAGCUGGUGCAGGGGGGGAUAUUGUUAGGGAAGAGACCCAUGGGUAUACACCACCCGUAGCUGACUGCCUGUCUAGAUACACUAGGCAAGACCUGGGCGGACCACUCCCUGUACUUUUGGUUAGCGCGCCUCAUCCGUGCCCGAGGCUUCUGUAGAUGGUGGUUCUAUCUGAUGGUGGUUGCCCCUGCAGUGGUCCUGCUGUGCGCCUGGCUUACUACUCACAAUUACUUGAAUCAUUUCUGUCAUAGGAAUUGCAUGUAUUAUACAUUGUUCAUUCUGUACACAUGGCAUCCAUUGUAGUCUGUCCACCCCGGGAGUGGGAUCCCUCCUGACGUUCUCCCUAAAGUUUCUUCCCUUUUUUCCUGUUUUUUCCCCCGUUUUUUUCUUUUUUCUGUAUGUGUACAGACUGUAAAGCCCUCGGAUGUCAAUUAUUAUAGAAAGAGAAAUAGAGAGAGAGAGAGAGAGCAGCUCGGUGAGUCCUAAGACAUCCCCUGGCAGUCUGGGCCUAUAGCAGCUUACAUGAGCCACCCCUAACUAUACUUGUUAUCAAAGAGGAAUAUUUUAAGCUUUAUCUUAAAUAAAAGGGUCAUCCCCACAAUGUACAGUGUUCAACUACAACCACACUUAACCUACGCAUUGCAUAAACACUAUUCAGGUUUGCUAGUUUUUCCAAGCCGGACCGCUGAAAUUAGCAGAUCAACAUAGCAUAGACUUGAAGAGUAGUGUAUACAGUUCCUUAUCUUUUUUACCAGCCUAGCUAUUUACGUAUGCAGUACAAUAUUGACACACUUGCUACUGAUUUGUGCGCAGUGCUUUACAAAAACUAAAGAAAAUCUCACAUGUGUUUCUUAAGCGAUAAUUUUGCCCAAGCUAGCAGAUAGCAUAUCUAACUAGCAGGGAAUUCCAACUUCUAACUUCAAAUGGAACACAACGGUAUGAUAUUGGGCUACAAACUAAUCUGAUAGUUACCACAUUCACACCAACAACCUACCUAGACGCUUUACUUUUGUUUGUAAAAUGUUAAUGUGCAGAGUCUAUUCUUCUAUAAAAUACCCCUUGUGAUUGUGCUUCCUCCUAGGAGAUAGGAAAGUAGGCUACUUGGCUCCGACUCUUCAAAUGGAAAGCAAACCGAAAUGUACGACUGUUACCUCAACCUAGGGACAAUGGUAUUUGUAAUUGUACCAAUGGUAAAAUGGUUGUAGAGUUGAUGAUGGGACCAUCACUGUGAACAUACUAGAUACUACACAAGAAAACCCUCAGCAACUGUUGAUCCCA
Long non-coding RNA from Gasterosteus aculeatus aculeatus (three-spined stickleback), 1438 nucleotides. Lineage: Eukaryota; Metazoa; Chordata; Actinopteri; Perciformes; Gasterosteidae. The record is from Ensembl.